Molecule: ribosomal RNA, 274 nt
Filed under: uncultured bacterium
Lineage: Bacteria
Description: partial 16S ribosomal RNA
Rfam family: Bacterial small subunit ribosomal RNA
Source: RNAcentral
AUACGAAGGGGGCUAGCGUUGUUCGGAAUUACUGGGCGUAAAGCGCGCGUAGGCGGAUUGGUCAGUUAGGGGUGAAAUCCCAGGGCUUAACCCUGGAACUGCCUCUAAUACUGCCAGUCUUGUGUUCGGGAGAGGUGAGUGGAAUUCCUAGUGUAGAGGUGAAAUUCGUAGAUAUUAGGAAGAACACCAGUGGCGGAGGCGGCUCACUGGCCCGAUACUGACGCUGAGGCGCGAAAGCGUGGGGAGCAAACAGGAUUAGAAACCCUAGUAGUCC